RNAcentral lists this long non-coding RNA (1863 nucleotides) under Eucalyptus grandis. RNAcentral's name for it is "long non-coding RNA (EGRA_LNC005587)". Lineage: Eukaryota; Viridiplantae; Streptophyta; Magnoliopsida; Myrtales; Myrtaceae. The record is from RNAcentral.
AUAUUAAUACAGUUCAAUAGGUACGCAAAUAAUCACAUCACCGAUCGAAGCAUCGAUCAAAUCGACCUAGUCGAUUACAUUUCCACCGGACCAUUUCUAGGUCAUUCAUCCCACACCAAGCAACUUUCUUAAAUUUUAAUAGCUUUAUGGUCACACCCGACCCUUUCCAGUAGUGGCUUUAUGGUCUCACCCGACCCUUUCAAGAUCUAGUGACUUUGCGGUCCCACCCGACCUUUUUAAGAUCUAAUUUAUGAAUGAAUCUUAAGAUUACUCAUAAAUUACUUCAGCACUAAAUAAAGUUCAAAUAAAUAAACAGACUACACCACGACGAUCAGCACAAAAUUCCGGUCAUCGACCAUCUCGGUUGAAUUUCCGGAAAAAUAAAUAAUUAAAUAAUUAAUUUCGAAAAUUAAAUAAAUAAUUAUACAAAAAAUCGAAUUUAGGCCCGUAAUGCCGAAUUGGAUGCCGCGACGAGCCCUAAAAAUUACCGAGACUCGUUCCAUAAAUAACAUGGUAUGCUUACUUGUUAAUGUCUAUUUCUAACCACCUAAUAUGCAUCAUUAAAUCUCUAAUUUAAUUGAUUUAAACUAAUCUAACCACCUAAUUACAUUUAAUUAAAUCUAACCAACCCUAAAUAUAAUUAGCAAACUAAGAAAGUAUUAGUGAGUAAAACUCACUUGGUAAAAGCAAAGACCGAAUCACCGCAACAGCGUCGCGGGCUUUCGACAACACCGGCGGGCUUGGACCGGGCCUUAAGCUUAGGCCCAACAAAUCUCAGCCCAACUGAGAUUUGUUCUUACUUUUGGGCCAGACCCAAGUUGGAUUGGGCCUGCUGCGAAGAUGGGCUUCAAGUUAUGGGCUGGGCUGCAAUUGAUUUGCUGGAAUUGGGCUUGACCAAUUAAUUUACUUGGACUGGACUGGGCUGACUUGCGGCCCAAAUGGGCUGAACAAACUGCAACUGGAAGCGGGCUGUUCGGUGGGCUACAGCUUUGGACCGUUGGGCUCGUGAAUUUGCUGGCCCAACCGUGGGCUUCUGAACUGACGGCUUCAAUUAGGCCUGACUUGCACCGAAUUCCGCUGGGCUGAUGAUGCGUGUCGAUCCACGAGCAAAGAUGGGAGACAACGCGAACGCUGGUCAACGAAGGCUUCGUUCGGUGGGGAUUUGACCAAGAUGGGGGCGUGCUGGCGUGGACGAUGGAGGGAAAAGCAGCGUCGAAGAAGUUGUGCCGUUGAUCUUCAAGCGUUGCUGGUCUUCAAGCUUCGCUGGCGGACGUGUGGAGUGGAGCUGAGGGAAACGAUGGCAAGCUGGCAGCUGGGGUUUUGUUGGAUGCUGUUCGGUCAACAAAUCAAAGGGGCAAAUUGCUGAGUUGACCGGUGUGUUGGCAGCGUGAGGAAGCUCAGUGGACUCCGCGACGAAGACUGGUUUCUCUCGCUGAUCGGUGGCAGUGCACUGGCAGUCAACGAUCGAGAUUAAUCCUGCUGAAGAUUUCGCUAGAUUGAAAAUCCCGUAGACUGGUUUCUCGAUGGAUUUGCUGGCCGAAGAUGGGGAAGUGGAAACCGGCACAUGGACUGGAGGCUCGGUGGAUUGUGGCUUCGCAUGGGGCAGCUUCGGUAAGUCUUCAACGCUGCUGGACUAGACACGAAGCAGUGGAGCUGCACGCGGUCAACAAUCUUGCUGAGAUUGACCAAAAUCUCGGUGGAUUGGUCUUCAAUGCAGCUGGCGGACGAAGGAAAAUUUUCGAAGGAAGCAGCUUGGUCUUCUUCAGUUGCUGUUGGAGGUGUCGCACGAAGAAAAAAGAUGGGAAGGGAAGAGAAGCAGCUCACGGCAGCAAGAUGGAGAGGAUGAGGAAGAGGUGGGGGCCC